Molecule: ribosomal RNA, 509 nt
Filed under: uncultured bacterium
Lineage: Bacteria
Description: bacterial SSU rRNA
Rfam family: Bacterial small subunit ribosomal RNA
Source: RNAcentral
AAGCUUCAGGAAACUGGAGUGUGCCUCUUGAGGACCCCCGGUGACAGGGUGCUGCAUGGCUGUCGUCAGCUCGUGUCGUGAGAUGUUGGGUUAAGUCCCGCAACGAGCGCAACCCUUGUCUUUAGUUGCCAUCAUUAAGUUGGGCACUCUAAAGAGACUGCCGGUGUCAAACCGGAGGAAGGUGGGGAUGACGUCAAGUCCUCAUGGCCUUUAUGACCAGGGCUACACACGUACUACAAUGGCAUAGACAAAGGGCAGCGACAUCGCGAGGUGAAGCGAAUCCCAUAAACUAUGUCUCAGUCCGGAUUGGAGUCUGCAACUCGACUCCAUGAAGUUGGAAUCGCUAGUAAUCGUAGAUCAGCAUGCUACGGUGAAUACGUUCCCGGCCCUUGUACACACCGCCCGUCACACCACGGGAGUUGGUUGUACCAGAAGCAGUUGAGCAAACUUUUCGGAGAUGCAGGCUGCCAAGGUAUGAUUGGUAACUGGGGUGAAGUCGUAACAAGGUA